UUAAACAAAAGUGGCGCAGGCCUAAACAUGCAAGUCUCACGGUAACAGGAAGCAGCUUGCUGCUUCGCUGACGAGUGGCGGACGGGUGAGUAAUGUCUGGGAAACUGCCUGAUGGAGGGGGAUAACUACUGGAAACGGUGGCUAAUACCGCAUAACGUCGCAAGACCAAAGAGGGGGACCUUCGGGCCUCUUGCCAUCAGAUGUGCCCAGAUGAGAUUAGCUAGUUGGUGAGGUAACGGCUCACCAAGGCGACGAUCCCUAGCUGGUCUGAGAGGAUGACCAGCCACACUGGAACUGAGACACGGUCCAGACUCCUACGGGAGGCAGCGGUGGGGAAUAUUGCACAAUGGGCGCAAGCCUGAUGCAGCCAUGCCGCGUGUAUGAAGAAGGCCUUCGGGUUGUAAAGUACUUUCAGCGGGGAGGAAGGUGUUGUGGUUAAUAACCGCAGCAAUUGACGUUACCCGCAGAAGAAGCACCGGCUAACUCCGUGCCAGCAGCCGCGGUAAU
Molecule: ribosomal RNA, 507 nt
Filed under: uncultured bacterium
Lineage: Bacteria
Description: bacterial SSU rRNA
Rfam family: Bacterial small subunit ribosomal RNA
Source: RNAcentral